ACAGUGACACAGAUGAGCUGUGGCCUUCCUAGGAAGUAAUUAUCAUGUGCCUCUUGUUGUGCAGGUGGCACACAGCACAAGGAGAUGCAGUCUCCCUCAGGAGGGUUAGCCAAGCAAGAUGGGUUAUCAGAAGUAAGCAAGUCUCCCUCUGUGAAGUGUAGGUAGGAAAAAACUGAAACAAGGCAAAGAGAAAAGCAGCCAGUUAUUCUUGCUGCUUCAAAGAGCUCCUUUUAAUGCACAGCACAGCAGAGGAAAAGUGGUACUGAUUACAGCAAAGUCUUUGGUUUCCUGUGGUGCUUAGUAUUCCAUAAUAUGUACUGAUGGCUUUGAAUUGCUGUCCUCCAUUUCAGCCUCAAAGUGUUAAUAGGUUGAAUAUUGUCAGAUUUGGUCAUUUGAACGUUAUUUUUUUUAACGUGCCUGUCUCCUUCUCUUACUCAGAUAACAUUUUUCUUUCAGAUGCUGCAUCAGAAAAAGCACAGAUAAAUGAAACUUGCCAUGGAGUCAAAUCAGCCUCAGCAGGACCUGCACGGAUCAGCUGUGAUCACCAGGGUUGCACAACCUUGCACAGGUCUUCUCUCUUUGUUUUCUUGAAUUUUUCCAAGAGUUCCGGCCUGGCCACGCUGGUUUUGUGCUAAUGGACACCUAGAAAAAUAUACAAGCACUAAGUAAGUAUUAAGCUUUUCUUAUUUCUAUGUCAAACAUAUUUUCAAGUCACGGUUAAGAGUAUCUGAUCCAUUUUGCCCUGCCCUAUAUUUUGAGGAGAAUUCCACACCAAGUAAAACAUUGAUUUAUUUAAAACACAACUAAUGGGGUUUCUUUGUCCUCUCUCGUGUGUUGGAAAAUCCCACCUGAACCCUAAUUAACAAAUUGAUUUAUCAAACAUUUAGCUAAUGAUUUCCCUUUGUCCUGUCCUCCCAGUUGCAGAAUCCCACCUGAUCCCCCUAUCACACUGAUUUGAUCACAUGGGCAAAACACUACCUAUGUCUAGAGGCAUUCCUGUCUCACACAGCCAAGGAGUAUCAGGCAGAAUGAGAGGAGCAGAGCAGGACUUGCAUGCCAGGGCUGAUUCACCAUGGGCUCAAUCUCUUGCAAACAGUUUGUGGCAGGCCUAGCACAGUUUGGAAGAAUGUGUGUACACAUAACAAGAGCUCACAAAUACCACUCAUCAACAAGAUCUGACCUUGGGCUCAUGCUGAUACAGAUAUAUCUGCAGACAACACAAGGCCGUUACAUCUUGGUAUGUAAAUACAGAGGUAUCCUUGGCCCUCUUCCCUGUGGUUUUCUGCAUAAACAAACAGUGGGUCACUCAACUAUAGACAAUGCCUCCAGAGAGAGGAACUG
RNAcentral lists this long non-coding RNA (1341 nucleotides) under Numida meleagris (helmeted guineafowl). RNAcentral describes it as "lncRNA (ENSNMEG00000004594.1)". Lineage: Eukaryota; Metazoa; Chordata; Aves; Galliformes; Numididae. The record is from RNAcentral.